This 499-nucleotide ribosomal RNA is filed under the name uncultured bacterium. RNAcentral describes it as "partial 16S ribosomal RNA". It matches the Rfam family "Bacterial small subunit ribosomal RNA", at positions 28 to 507 of the family's 1533-position model. The record is from RNAcentral.
GACGAACGCUGGCGGCGUGCUUAACACAUGCAAGUCGAACGGGCCCGCCCCUGUUUUUGGGGGUGGGUUGAGUGGCGAACGGGUGAGUAUCACGUGAGUAACCUGCCCCCUGCUCCUGGAUAACUGCUUGAAAGGGCGGCUAAUACGGGGUGUGCCGGCUGGUCCGCAUGGGCCUGGUCGGGAUAGUUUCAUCUUCGGGUGUUUCGGUGGGGGAUGGGCUCGCGGCCUAUCAGCUUGUUGGUGGGGUGAUGGCCCACCAAGGCGGUGACGGGUAGCCGGCAUGAGAGGGUGGGCGGCCACACUGGGACUGAGACACGGCCCAGAGUCCUGCGGGAGGCAGCAGUGGGGGGUAUUGCACAAUGGGCGGAAGCCUGAUGCGGCGACGUCGCGUGAGGGAUGGAGGCCUUCGGGUUGUGAGCCUCUUUCUCCGGUGGUGAAGGCCCUGUCCGUUGCGGCGGGGUUGACGGUAGCCGGGUAUGAAGCGCCGGCUAACUACGUG